AUUUCCUGCUCUGCUUCUGUAAGUUUGACUAUUUUCGAUUCCUCACAUAAGUGGCAUCAGUUAUUAUUUGUUUUCUGGCUCUCAAUUAUUUCACUUGAUGAAUGUACUCCAGGUUCAUUCAUGUUACUGAAAACGGCAGAAUUCCUCUCCUGUCCCCUGCCCUCACCAUUGAGGACCUAAAGGAUAAUGAAAGGGGGGAAUCUGUGCCCUAAAUAAUCCCUUUUGGCAGUUACUUUCUGUUUUCAAAGUUCAGCUCUCCCUCUCCCUCUCCCUCUCCCUCUCCCUCUCCCUCUCUCUCUCCCUCUCUCUCCACGGUCUCCCUCUCCCUCUCCCUCUCUCUCCACGGUCUCCCUCUCCCUCUCGCUCUCUCUCCACGGUCUCCCUCUCCCUCUCCCUCUCUCUCCACGGUCUCCCUCUCCCUCUCCCUCUCUCUCCACGGUCUCCUUCUGUUGCCGAGCCAAGGCUGGACUGUACUGCCGCCAUCUCCGCUCACUGCAACCUCCCUGCCUGAUUCUCCUGCCUCAGCCUGCCUGGGAUUGCAGGCGCGCGCCGCCAUGCCUGACUGGUUUUUGCUGGAGUGCAGUGGCGUGAUCUCGGCUCGCUACAACCUCCACCUCCCAGCCGCCUGCCUUGGCCUCCCAAAGUGCUGAGAUUGCAGCUUCUGCCCGGCUGCCACCCCAUCUGGGAAGUGAGGAGCGUCUCUGCCUGGCCGCCUAUCGUCUGGGAAGUGAGGAGCGCCUCUUCCCGGCCGCCAUCCCGUCUGGGAAGUGACCAGCGUCUCUGCCCGGCCGCCCAUCGUCUGAGAUGUGGGGAGCGCCUCUGCCCCGCCGCCCCGUCUGGGAUGUGAGGAGCGCCUCUGCCCGGUCGCGACCCCGUCUGGGAACUGAGGAGUGUCUCUGCCCGACCGUCACCCCGUCUGGGAGAAAUUCGACAGGGAAGAAAAGCAAGUCACCAGGGACUGUAUCCUUGAUUAGUGGCUGCGAUCCUGCAACACACUUCAUCCUGCCCAAUCCCCAUCGAUGUUGGCAUUUUCCUACUCAAUUGAUGUCCUCAUAUUUUCCCUGCUCCAUCUACACACCAUAUAUUUCCUCAGGUGCUACAAACAAGUUCCAAACUUUAUUGGACAGGGGAAGAAGUAGAAGAAACAAGAAGUAUUAUUAAAAUGAAUGGAGUUAAAAUGGGACAGAGGUGAGAAGAAGGAGCUAGAAAACUUUAAAUAAAAUGCACCUACAGCUAAGGAAAUAGACAAGCCUUUCUGAUGGCUCUCAUGGCUCUGCGUUUACAUACUACAGAUUCCUCCUGGAUGAAACAGAAGCCGGGCUGCUGAUGCAGCUGGAGGAGGAAGCGAGAGGUUCCAACGGCAUGACUCCUUGGCAUUUCACACAUCCAUAGAAAUAACCCAUCUAUGAUUUCCACAAGACAAUUUUUUCUUAGUCCCCACUUUUCAGUGUAUGCUCAAACACAAUGCAGAAUCCCAAGAAACUGUGAAACUUUUCUGAGAAAAUGUUCUGAUUUGAAUUAGUUAGCUGUAUUCUGCAUUCAGCACAUUUACAAGCUUUGAAAUAUCGGACAUUGGCAAGCAAGCACUAACAUUUUAUAAGUAGCAGUUUGCAUCCAGGUUUGAGGUAAUGUAAUCCAACAUGCACGAGAACACAGUCUAGGUCCCCUUCUCCCUUCUAAGCAUAGCAGAAGGAUUAGGAAUAAUGAAUGGUGUGAAUUUUGCCACCUAGAGGGUUUCAUUUUGAUACCUGUUACACAGUCCUCUUGAGCACUGUGCUCAUUUUUCCUAUUGCUGAGAUAUGGAAAAUAAAACAGUAAUAGGAACGUGCACUGACAACACACCAUGUCAAUGCCCUAAAACGCAAAGUCUUGGAGAGGGUUCCAUAAUGGCUUCAGUAGAAGCAUAGCUCAUUCCCUGCUUUGCUAAUCAAUUUUCUGCAUGCCAUGUUCUCCCCGUUAUACCUCAUCCCUUAGGCUACUCUUGUAGCCCAAGUCAACCACACAGGUGAUAUACACCGGUGGAAUAGGUCAGGGCAAUUUCUUGAGGCACUGGAGGGGGAAAACCUGGGGUCUCUCCUCAGCCCUCCAAUGUGUCCAUAAUGCUCCUCAUGUGCCACAGGCUCCGUGCCACCAUGGAAUUUGAUCUGGAAGUCUAGAGCCCUUUUCAGGGAGUUGUUUAAGCCUUUAGUCCUUGUUUCUUCACUCUUAGUGUAAUUCUGUGUCAUUUUAGAGCCAGAAACACUGUUGUAACAGUCAAAUGUAGUAAUUAAGACUGUAGUAUCAGAUCACUGGCUUUUCAAUCUUUUUCUAAAAGGCUCUAUGAUCUCAGGCAAAUUUACUGAACUCUUCUUGCUGUAAUAUGGGGAGACAGUGGCCCUCACUUCAUAGAUUGUAGUGAGAUUAAAUAAGUUAAUAUAUGUAAAGCUUUAAUAAAGUACUUAGCAAAUAGUAUAUACAGUACUAUGCAAGUUUUAGCUAUAAAAUGACAAUAACAUUUCACAUAAAAAGGUUACUAUUAAUUGUUACUACCAUUUCCUAAUUAUUGAUUUAUGUAAUAAGCUAUGCCCCAAACCUACCAGGUUUAACUCUUGGUAUUCAGUGUGAACUGAAUUAUAUUCCCCUCAAAUUCAUUUAUUGAAACACUAAUGUGCUGGCAUUAGAAGGCAAGGCAUUUGGGAGGUAAUUAGGUCAUGAAGGUAGAAUCCUCAUGAUGGGAUUAAUGCCCUUAUUAGAACAGACUGAAGAGAAAUUUUACUCUGCCAUGAGAGACACAUAAAAAAAAAAAAAAAAGAUGAAGUCUACAAGCCAGGAAGCAAGCUCCCACCAAGAACUGAAUCAGCCAGCACCUUGUUCUUGAAUUUCCCAGCCUCCAGAACUGUGAGAAAUAAAUAUUAGUAGUUCAAGUCACCCAGACGGUGAUAUUUUUUGAUAUUUUGUGACAGCAGCCCAUACAAACCAAGGCUAUCUUCAAGCAAACAAUUUAGAAGUUCACAAUUUUUUUUCUGUCAAAUAUGUGGUGUUCGCAAAUUGAAAGCAUCUUGGAUUUCAGAACAGGCGAUAUCUUCACCAUGCGCACAAUGAAAUCAAUACUCAGAGAAGGCAGAUAAUUCUCCACGAAGCCAGAAAACUAAUAAAUGAACAGUUGAUUCCAUUAUUACCAUCCCUGCAAUACCACUCCUUAACACCUUUCUACUUAGACAUGAAAAUCUAUGGCUUUACCAAAAAAACUUGGGUGAAAUGUCCCACCAGACGGUGUGAUAUUUAGUAGCCCAGAAAGCUGCCAAGGGGUUGAAUGACACUAUCUGAAGAUAUGAACCAGUUUGCUCUCCAUAGGGAGGAUUUCAUCAACAGGAAACAGAUGCCUGGAAGGCAUUGGAUUUGCUAAGUGUCUAUGCCAUAUGAUUCUGCUGUUUGCGUUUGAUUUAGAAUGCUGAGCUGACUCAAAGUCAAACUUGGCAUAAAACACUUCAAUCACACGUAGCUUUCUGGAGCAACAGACCAUGGGCUGAGGAUUGAGUUUCCGGGAGCCACAGCAAGGCUCUCCAAUGCCAUCUUUCUGUCUCACUGCUGAAAGUCAAGAAUCACAGUGCUGAUCUUCAGAAACUGUGGGUUCAGAAACUCACCUGGUCACUAGAAUUACUCUCCCCACUUUACCUCUGCUACCCCGGAGAUCCCCGAGACCAGUCCCUUUUGGGGAGCCCUUGAUGGCAUCUUCACUAGUAGCCCUUUGGCUCACAUGGGAAUACCCCCAGGGACUCCUCGCAAGAGGGCUAUGAGGGAGGCUUCAUUAUUCUAGUGUUGAAGCCCAGAGUCUCAACCUAAUCAGCGCUUUCCUUCAAGUUCGAGCCUCCAGGAGGAGCCAAGGAGUUUCAACAGCGUUUCAAAGUUCGCAGUUUGUAUUCUGCUGCACCAGAGACAUCAUUGAAUCUUACAGCUGAUGCUACCUUCUUUCCCACACCUGGAUUCACCCAAAGUCCUGGAGAACAGCACAUGGUGGAGAGAAACCCCUAGCCAAUUUUCCCUUCUGAAAGAUAAGAGCAAGACACCUGGGUGAACUGGUGGCUGAGGGACCUCCGCUCCUGGAUACAUGUCCGUAAUCAUUCAUGGAGUGAGAAAAUCGGCCUGUAUGUUACCACUAAAGAAGCUAGUCUGUAAGAAUGUAUUGAUUUAAGUAUAUAUAAAAAUACAUAGAGUAAAUUAUAACUCCCCUAGGCACAAUUUCAUUAUAUACCUUAAAAAAUACAUAGAUGCCACUCACUUCACUGCUAACAAAAAUGACAAUAUCAUUUAUCAUUCCAACCAUGGUACUUUUUUUUUUUUUUUUUUGAGUCAGAGUCUUGCUCUGUUGCCCAGGCUGGAGUGCAGUGGUGCAAUCUUGGCUAACUGCAAUCUCCGCCUCCCGGGUUCAAGCGAUUCUCCUGCCUCAGCCUCCCGAGUAGCUGGGACUACAGGCGUGUGCCACCACGCCCAGAUAAUAAUUUUUUGAAUUUUUAGUAGAGAUGAGGUUUCGCCGUGUUAGCCAGGAUGGUCUCAAUCUCCUGACCUCGUGAUCCGCCUGCCUCGGCCUCCCAAAGUGCUGGGAUUACAGGCAUGAGCCACCACACCCGGCCCCAUGGUAUUUUGACUACAAAAUGAGACACAAUACAUGAAAAAGUGGUCUACUGUGGAUCACUACUCUCAAUGAAAAGAAACAAACUAUUGAUACAUUUGACAAACCAAGACUUUCUCCCCAAAACUGGGCUGUGUGGUCCCCUAACUCUACCUGAUAGGGAAAAGAAAAGUGAGUUGGGAAUGAGGAAAGUAUUUUUUUGGAGGGAGGUUUGUUUUAGGUUGGUUUUUGUUGUUGUUAUGAUUUGACUGUGAUUCCUCCAUAGAGUAAAACACAGUCAGUUCUUGUUGUUUGUGGUUAUUAUGUUCUUUAAAGAACAUAAUUGCUGUGAGCACUGAAUUAGCAAAUACUGAACUGUUGCUCCCACGGGAAAUACAGAGGACGUUCCUUCGAGCCUGUGGUCACACAUUGUCAUAAAACAAUCGAUACACGACCUUGUUUUAUGUGUGUUUCUGUUAAAGGACACCUUGUUUAACAUACAGCAUUGAUUUAUUAACAUUGAAUUCAUGACCAACAGUACUAUAACUAACGCUUGAACAAGGCUUAUCAACACAUCUCUUUUCUUCAUACGGUACAUCAAAGACUUCUUGCACUUAGGAAUACUAGAUGGCACUAUAUCACUGUAGUGAAAUCAGCAGCAAAAAGCACAACAUGAGAAAAAUGUGGCACUAAAUAGAACACACACCAAAAGGACAGUUGUGUACAAUAUGAGAUAUAAAACAGGAGCAAGGCAGAAUGUCGCCUUGUUGAACCUCAUCUGGGAACAUGAACUUUGGGUGACAAUUUUUUCGCUGCUCUCCACAUGUCUGUGAAGGGACAUGAAAUAGCUGUGGCUAUUGAUUUGAGAGUUACAGGUAAUUUUAGGGAGUAGGCAGGUCUGUAAAUAUGAAAUCCAUGAGUAAUGAUGACUGACUGUAGAUUCUUGUCCCUAACUCUUAGGUGUACCUUUAUUUAAAGUUAGGCUCACCAAGUAGAUUUCAAGAGGUCUCUAAGAGUGGAUCUAAAAUGGAGAACAAAUGACCUCAGGAGAUGUAGAUAAAAUAUGUCUCUUCAAACUGGUUUUGCACCAGUAAUGAGACAGUGACGCAAGUCCUCUGUAUCCUCGCUGUGCUUGUUUUUGUCCCUAUUUUCAUCAUUCUGCUAGACGUGCAGUAAUACUUUUCUGUGGUUUUAAUUUGCAUUUCUCUAAUAGUACAGUUUGGCAGUUUUUUAAACAGUUAAAUAUUCAACUGCAUUUAUAUAUGACCCAGCAAUUGUACUCUUUGGCAUUUAUUCCAGGGAAAUGAGAACAAACUUGAACAUUGUGGCACAUCUAUUUAUAAUAACCAAGAACUGGAAAUAAUCAGAUAUCUCUCCAUGGAAAAAUGGUUAUUAAACAAAACAUAGUACAACUUACUAUGGAUCACUACUCCCAAUAAAAAGGAACAAACUGUUGAUGCAUUCAGCAACCUUAAUGAAUCACCAAAGAACUAUCCUAAGUGAAAAUAAAGCCAGUUUCCCAAGAUUAUAUAUGGUAGGAUUCCCUUUAUAUAACAUCCUUGAAAUGAGAAAAUGAUAGAAAUGGAGAAUAGACUAGUGGUUGCCAGGGGGUUAAGGUGGGAAUCCAUGCAGGAAGGAAGUGGCUAUAACGAUAAAAGAGAAACAUGAGGAAUCCUUGCUGUGAUGAAAAUGCUCUGAAUCUUGACUGUAUCUAUGUCAGUAUCUUGGUUAUAAUAUUGUCUUAUGCUUUUGCAAGAUGUUACCAUUGGGGAAUACUAGGCAUAAGCACAUGAGAUCCCUCUCUCGUAGUUCUUACAACUCCGUGUGAAUCUAUGAUUACCUCAGUAUAAAAAGCUUAUUUAUAAAUAAAUGAAGGAAAAAUAAAGACUUUCUCAAACCAGCCAAACUACACACCACACACACACACACACACACACACACACACACACACACACACAGAGUUUUAUUCUUUCCAAGUUUGAACUGAUUCUUAUUCCUUCUUCAGUCAUUCAACAAGCUGUUACCCUUUAAAGAGGCUAAGGAGAGAUUAAUUAGAUAUUAGUUCGUAAGAUACAUUUUUCAAAUUUCUUAAAAUAUAUGUACAUGUACAAUUUAGUGAAAGCAAAAAAAACUUUGAUAGUAAUAAUAUUGAAGAUCCAAAUCUGUAUUAAGUCAAAUAUUUAGUGAUAUAAUUUUCAUUUCAAAAUGGUUUUUACAUAAAGUAAAACUGUGUACAAUAAAGUAAAUAAUUUUAAUGCAAUUUAUUCUUUUUUUGGAUGAGGAAACUGAGGCUCCCUUCUUAUGUGGAAAAAUGGUUGGCAUUGCCAUUAGUGCAGAGUUGAUUGGGGCUAAAUUGAUGCACUCUUUGGACCAUAAAGUCAAGAGCAGAUAUGUAAAACCACGAUGUGUCAUUAUGGAUGAUCCAGUUUCUUUUUAAAUCAGAAUCUCUGGGGCAUGAACAAAGUCUUUAUAUAAGGUACUAUUCUGUCUUAUGGGCUCUCUCUAUAUGAUUUUUCUAUAUAUGCAGAUAUAUAAGGAAAGGGCUGACAAUAAUCAUGUAGGAUACAUAAAAUAUUAUUUUCUUUCUGAAAGGAAAGGGAAUGGGCCUCCUCUGGUUAAAAUUUAUAUUAGAUUUCGUAGACUGCUAGGGCUGCCAUCACAAAGUACCACAGACAGGGACACUUAAAGAAAAGAAAUAUAUUGUCUCACGGUUCUGGAGGCUACAAGUCAAAGAUCAAGGAGUCAGUGGGAUUGGUUGCUUCUGAGGCUGUGAGGGGCAAUCUGUUUCAUGCCUCUCUCCUAACUCUGGUUAUUUGCCGGCCAUUUUUGGUGUCCCUUGGCUUAUAGAAUCAUUGCUCCAAUCCCUGACUUACCUUCACGUGUUGUUCUUCCUGUGUGAGUCUGUCUUUGUGUUCAAAUUGCUUCCUUUAAUAAGGACACCAGUCAUACUGGAUUAGGGUCCCACCCUCAUCCGUGAAGUAUGACCUCAUACUAACUAAUUACAUCUUCAAUGACCCUAUUUCCAAAUAUGACCACAGACUGAGGCACUGCAGGUUAAGGCUUCAACAUAAGAAUUUUGGGGGACACAAUUCAACUCAUAACAGAUUUUCUCUCUCAUUCUUACCCCAUGGAUAGGAUAUAACAGACAAAGCCCUCUUUAGGUUAUCAAAUAAAUUGUGCCCAAGAUGCAAUGGGCGAAAAGUGUCCUAAGCAACAUAAAGAUAAGCAGCCAUUGUAAUAGAUAUAUUUUUGGCCUUAUUUUAUCUAAAUCAAAAGAUUAAAAGUAAAACUCUGAAUGCACUAUAUUUGCAAAAUGUUUACAAUUAGCCCCAUAAUUUUCUUUUGCAUUAAUAUUAGAAGAAAACUAAACAUUUUCUAAAACUUAUUACUUUCUGAAUGUUUUGAACGUGCUGAUGUAAAUUUUUCAACUCUAAGUGUAGGUGAC
This 8033-nucleotide long non-coding RNA is filed under the name Homo sapiens (human). RNAcentral describes it as "HSALNT0158733". Lineage: Eukaryota; Metazoa; Chordata; Mammalia; Primates; Hominidae. The record is from RNAcentral.